Molecule: ribosomal RNA, 1148 nt
Filed under: Ilyoplax dentata
Lineage: Eukaryota; Metazoa; Arthropoda; Malacostraca; Decapoda; Dotillidae
Description: partial 16S ribosomal RNA
Source: RNAcentral
GUUGUAUAAGUCUUGUUCGUUUAGGGUUAGAUUAAAAGAAUCUGAAAAAUAAUUUAGAGGGUUGAGUAAAGGUUAUUGAAAAAUAAAUAGAACUAUAGGUUAAAGUACUGUAAAGGAAAGAAAAAGUUAGUUUAUAUAGUAGAUAUAUAUUAUUGUACCUCGUGUAUUAGGGUUAAUUAAUAUCAUUUAGUUAUUUUAAAUAUCUCGAAAUAAAAAUAGCUAAGCUUAUAUAAUUGUCUUUAUAGAUAAAAAGUGCUGAAUGUAAGCUUAAAGGUGAGAUGUUAGUCGAGUUUUAUUAUUUCUAGUUUCUUUAAAAUUAAAUUAAAUUUAAACUUUAGAUACUCGAUAUCUAAAGUUAAACUGCAGGAGGGAGCAGCUUCUUGCACAUAUAAGAUAUAAAAGCAAAUUAAAUAUAAGUUAUUAAAAUUAAGCUUAAAAGUAGUUAUAUUGGUAAAGUGUUACAAUUAAGUAAUAAGUCAUAUGUUAUUUUUAUUUGCUUUAAGUAUAAUAUAAAGAUUUUAUUUUGAAUGUAAAAAAAUGAGCUAUAAUAAUUUUAUUAGUAUAAAUUUAUUGUGAGAUAAUAUAGUGAAAUAGUUUAAAUGGUUUAAUAUUAUUGUGAAAAUAUAAAGGAACUCGGCAAAUAUUCUUCUUGCCUGUUUAUUAAAAACAUGUCUGUUUGUUAAUAUAAAAAGUCUGACCUGCUCACUGAAUGAAUCUAUUUAAAGAGCCGCAGUAUAUUGACUGUGCAAAGGUAGCAUAAUCGUUUGGUUUUUAAUUGAAAUCUUGUAUGAAUGGUUUGACAAAGAAGAAGCUGUCUCUGUAUUUGAUAAUUGAAUUUAACUUUUAAGUGAAAAGGCUUAAAUAAAUUAAAAAGACGAUAAGACCCUAUAAAACUUUAUAUGUUAUUUUACUAGGUUGAGUUUUAACUAUAUAAAAAUUUAGUAAAGAAAUCGUAUUAUGCUGGGGCAGUAAAUAUAUAAUGGUUAAUAAUUGUUUUAGUUAAGUUACAUUUAUAAGAGAUUAAAAAUUAAAAUGAUCCUAAAUAAAGAUUAAAAGUUUAAGUUACUUUAGGGAUAACAGCGUUAUUUUUUUUGAGAGUUCUUAUCGAAAAAAAAGAUUGCGACCUCGAUGUUGAAUUAAAGUAUCUU